Molecule: ribosomal RNA, 465 nt
Filed under: uncultured bacterium
Lineage: Bacteria
Description: partial 16S ribosomal RNA
Rfam family: Bacterial small subunit ribosomal RNA
Source: RNAcentral
CCUACGGGAGGCUGCAGUGGGGAAUAUUGCGCAAUGGGCGAAAGCCUGACGCAGCGACGCCGCGUGAGGGAUGAAGGUCUUCGGAUCGUAAACCUCUGUCAGCAGGGAAGAACGGUCACUGUGCUAAUCAGCAGUGAAUUGACGGUACCUGCAAAGGAAGCACCGGCUAACUCCGUGCCAGCAGCCGCGGUAAUACGGAGGGUGCGAGCGUUAAUCGGAAUUACUGGGCGUAAAGCGCUCGUAGGCGGUAUGUCAAGUCAAGGGUGAAAUCCCCGCGCUCAACGUGGGAACUGCCUUUGAAACUGGGAAACUGGAGUGUGUGAGAGGAUAGUGGAAUUCCAGGUGUAGGAGUGAAAUGCGUAGAUAUCUGGAGGAACAUCAGUGGCGAAGGCGACUAUCUGGCACAUAACUGACGCUGAGGAGCGAAAGCGUGGGUAGCAAACAGGAUUAGAUACCCUAGUAGUC